AUACUGUACGUGCUGCCAGAGAGUUCAACCUUAAUGAAAGAAUUCUUGCUCGAUACUGCGCCAGUAUGGAAGAAGCAGAUAUUUACAGUGACUCACCAACACCAGCUGUAAGUGUUGGCUAUACUUCUUCAAGAAAAAUUUUCAGCGUAGACGAAGAGGCAGAACUUGUAGCUUACAUUAAAAAGGCAAGCGAUAUCUACUUCGGAUUAAUUCCCAUUGAAGUUAGGAAAUUAGCUUACAACUAUGCUGACCAUCUUAAGUUGAAAAUUCUUGGAUCAUGGGAGACUAAUUUCGCUGCAGGAAAGGACUGGUUGGAGUCUUUCAUUAAAAGAAAUCCUAUUAUCUCAAUUAGAAAACCUGAAGCCAAUGCUCUCUCCUCCGAAGGAAAAACCAGUAAACAUAAAAAUUUUAAGACACAAUAAAAGAUAAGGACGA
Long non-coding RNA from Daphnia magna, 435 nucleotides. RefSeq lists it as uncharacterized. The record is from RefSeq and is a predicted model, not a curated record. The transcript is spliced from 2 exons. NCBI's taxonomy places the organism in Eukaryota, Metazoa, Arthropoda, Branchiopoda, Diplostraca, Daphniidae.